UUAAAAAAUUCAGUGUUGGCACCGGUUCCAACCAAAACCGGUGCCAAUCAUUUAAUUAGCACCGGUUCAAACCGGUGCCAACUUAUAAAAAAAAUAAAAUAAAUAAAUAAAUAUGGCAUAGAGGUGGCACCGGUUCGCCUUAAACCAGUGCCAACUAUGUUAUUAUUGAAAAAAAAACCGGGUCUUAGCUUCUUCGUUUUCAUUACAUUUCCUCGAUCUUUCCUCUUCUCAUCUGAUCUGCCUCUCUCUCUCCUCCAUUGAAGCGUAGUCGAAUUUCUCCAUUUAAGGGGCUUCUGAGCUUUCCUAACACUCCUUCUCUCUCCUUCUCUCUCCUUCUAUAACCACCACUUUCCCUUUCCUUUCUUCUCUCUUUCGAUCUCCUUCUCCUUCUCCUUCUCUCUUUCUAUAAUAUUGGAGGUUAGGGUUUCUGGGUGCGUCUAUUUUGAAUCAAUUCGAUGUGCGUGCGUCUUUAGCAACAACAAAUUCGAAUCAAUUUCAAACCAAAAAUCAGAAAUUCGAGGUUAGGGUUUCUGGGUUAUUUAGCUUUGCGUUAUAUUGUAGCAGUUCUGAGCAUUCUCCUUCAUUGAAACAACUUCUGAGGCAAAAAGAGCUGGAUAUGUUGAUGAAGGUUAAGGAAGUAAAAGGGUGUGUGGGGAAGGGGAGUGAUAAUGAUGAUGAUGGUGUUGAAAGCAAGUUUUGGAAAAACUCGACAAUGAAUUAGCCAAAGUCGAUGAAAGAGCCGCCCUUUUCUUGGUAUUUGAAGGAGGAGUCUCUGCUUUGUACUUCUUAGCAAUUGUUUCAGUCUGGUUUUCAUAUCUAGCUGUUGAUUUUAUGAUAAGACGGGUUCCAAUGACUUUCUUGGCUUUAUAACAUUUAUUUCCAUUGUUUAAUGGUCUGGUUUCCAUUUCUACGGUCUUCUUGAUCAUAUGAUAUAGCUGAUGUUGGGAGUAUUAUGGUGAUAAUGACUUUAAGUUAUUGCUGUGUCCUCUUAUGUCUCUGCUCUCCUCAACUGUUGUUCUUCAUAGUUGUCGUAUUCACGUUGAUUGGUUUUUCCCUAGGUUUUUUUUUUUCUAAAUGGAAUCAUCUAGACUGGGUCUGUGUUCCACACCACAUAGUUUCAGAUUCAAUUUUCUAUUGCUCGUUCCGAUGGAAGUUAUUGAUGAGACAUUUUAUUAAUGGCAUGAUGGUGAAAUAUGAGAGCUCUACUCCAUAUAGGGUGUCAUUUAUUCAAAUUGCACUUUAUUUGAUUGUUUUUUUAUUUGAACUUUCAUUACCAUUUAGUUUGCUGGGGUGGUCAAUUAACACCACCUUGAUUGUGUGAUAGGAAGAUGCUUUGCUUAUAGGAUUUACUGAUUUUUCCUGAACUUUUGUGGCUGAAUUUUCACAUCAGGGUUUUGUCUUACUGUGUUGUUUAUUGGGUAAUUAUUUGCUGACAAUUUGUUCCCACUCUAGGAGUUGGGCUGCUCUUCUCUUUAUCUAUCACGGUCUAUGUUUCUAUCUUCUUUUUUAAUCUAUAUUGCAUCUGCUUCAAGGAAAGUUCAGGUCCUCGUCAAUUUUUAACAGGACUCUUCAGCCUUAAGAAUUUGUGGUCUGGUAAUGUUAGUGAGAUUUAGGGGUGCCUUCAUCAUGGAUAUUGCUUAUUGUAUUUUGAGCUCUAAUUUGCGAAUUUGUCCUUGAUUAUACUAUCAAUAUGUUAUUUGUGAUUAUGGGGUGGCAAGUUGUGCUAAGUUCAUCUCUAUCCUGUCUUUUGAAAUUUUACCUUUUCUUGUUUCUGCUGCCCAAGCAUCUUUUGGUGCAACUACAUAGUGCACUAUACUUUAUUAAGCAUGCAUUUUGCUUCAGCCUUCAGGUUCAUGCUUCAUCUUAUGAUUUUAUAGAAUCAGGUUUUUUUUUUUUUUUUUUUUUUUUUUUUUUUUUUUUUUGGGUGGUACUUGGCUUAAUGCUUGUAGCUGUGAUGAUCUGUGGUACUGACAUUGCUUUGGCAUCGCAUUGGGAUUUCAUGAAAUUGAAGGUUGGAGUUCUUCUGAGCUCUAUCGUGAAUGUAUCCUGACAGUGUCAACUAGCUUGCGGCGCGACAUUACGUGUAACAUAGCCCCUUUCUUGUCAUUUAAAAAACCUAGGGAGUUUCUAAUCCUUUACUUGGAUUUGUUUCUCGCCAGCUUCUUUUAGUGUUACAGUGGCUGGAGUUCUCAAUGGCAAGCAUCAUUCUUUUGGUGCUGCUUGUAAAUUAUGGUUUCUUGAACUCGGGUUAAUAGGUUUUGCCUAUCAUUGUGCUGAUUUUGCUUGGAUUUGCUCUUCUAAGGAGCUUGCACAUAUCGGGUUUAUGUUGCUCUAGAUUUUGAUUAUUUGGUGUAACGCUGUGACUACUGGAAAUUCACAUUCGAUGAUGAUAUUUUUAUAUUCCAUUAAUCUUACGACCUUGGUGUUAUCAGGGUCAUGUUCUGUUAGAUUGGGUUUAAAUUUGUUAGGAAGUAUUAGGUGAAGGUGGAUCCUUAGAUUGUUGCAAUCAUGCAUUUGGGGAAGAUGUGAUGG
Chenopodium quinoa (quinoa) is the source of this 2532-nucleotide long non-coding RNA. RefSeq lists it as uncharacterized. The record is from RefSeq and is a predicted model, not a curated record. The transcript has 2 exons. NCBI's taxonomy places the organism in Eukaryota, Viridiplantae, Streptophyta, Magnoliopsida, Caryophyllales, Amaranthaceae.